This 379-nucleotide ribosomal RNA is filed under the name marine Metazoa environmental sample. RNAcentral's name for it is "SSU rRNA". It matches the Rfam family "Eukaryotic small subunit ribosomal RNA", at positions 587 to 972 of the family's 1831-position model. Lineage: Eukaryota; Metazoa. The record is from RNAcentral.
AGCUCCAAUAGCGUAUAUUAAAGUUGUUGCAGUUAAAAAGCUCGUAGUUGGAUUUCGGAAUGGUCCAGUUGGUCCGCCGCAAGGUGAGUUACUGACUGGUUUGUUCUUCUUCUUAAAGACUGCGUGUGCUCUUCGCUGAGUGUGCGUAGGAUUUAGGACGUUUACUUUGAAAAAAUUAGAGUGUUCAAAGCAGGCUAUCGCUUGAAUACAUGAGCAUGGAAUAAUGGAAUAGGACUUUGGUUCUAUUUUGUUGGUUUCUAGGACCGAAGUAAUGAUUAAGAGGGACAAUUGGGGGCAUCCGUAUUUCGUUGUCAGAGGUGAAAUUCUUGGAUUUACGAAAGACGAACAACUGCGAAAGCACUUGCCAAGAGUGUUUUCA